This is a long non-coding RNA of Xiphias gladius (swordfish), 925 nucleotides long. RefSeq lists it as uncharacterized. The record is from RefSeq and is a predicted model, not a curated record. NCBI's taxonomy places the organism in Eukaryota, Metazoa, Chordata, Actinopteri, Istiophoriformes, Xiphiidae. The transcript is spliced from 3 exons.
GGGAGAGGAGGCAGUGAAUGUUCCUGAUUAACUUUGGUAUCUGUGGACAUCUGCAUGCUUCCAAUCUGCCACAAAAGGACAGACAUGCUAAGAUUUGGAGCCGCUUUACUCUUGCAUGACGUGGCACUGUCGGCCUGGCGCUGAGUGGGCACAGAGUCGCUACACUUCAGCUGGUUUUGAGCAAGUACAGGGAUUCGAACAAUGGGUGUUACAUUGUAGCUGAGUGACCUGUUGUACCUGGGUAGACCUCCAUUGGAUGGUUUCUCUGCAAAGUGAGGACCAGAGAGUGGGCAGUUGUGCUGAAGAUCUGACGAGGGGCAAAGUUAACGCCAUCGUUCACCUGGAAGUGGAAGCCACCCGACAACGCACCUAAACAAGAAGAGAGCCAGCAGAGGCCGAGUCAGGCCGAGUCAUUCUUUCAUUCAUCCAUUCUUUCAUUUAUUUCAGACUCAUCUUUUAUUCCACAGGUCCAUAAAAAUUACAGUUACAGUAAAACAUUUGCUAAUAAGCACUGUGCAGUACUUCAUUUAAAAACUAACUAUAAUCUGCACAGCUUCUGCUUCGCUCACCACUGUGCACAAACACCAGCUGUCCAUUUUGUAUGUGAUUCUGGGUGAAGUUCAGGAUGUGUCUGGAGGGGGCACUCUUCAGAGCCAGAUGGCCGUUGCUUGGCGGUGUGACAACGAACUCCAGCCCCUCAGACAGAGUGUCAGAGUCCUCUGCACUAAGAUCAUCUAUGGUGAUUUCUGUCACCGAGCCCACCCACACCUGAGGAAACAGGAGAUAAAAUGGAGGGAAAGGACAGGAAGGCUAUUAAGUUUAGCUGUUAAAAAAAGAGAUGGACAUUUUAAGAAGUAUUCUAAUCUACCUUUCAGUGCAUUUCCCAAAAUAUCACACUAUCCCUUUGUUGCAUUACCUUACACAA